RNAcentral lists this ribosomal RNA (399 nucleotides) under uncultured bacterium. RNAcentral describes it as "bacterial SSU rRNA". It matches the Rfam family "Bacterial small subunit ribosomal RNA", at positions 359 to 775 of the family's 1533-position model. The record is from RNAcentral.
GAAUCUUAGACAAUGGGCGCAAGCCUGAUCUAGCGAUGCCGCGUGAGUGAUGAAGGCCUUAGGGUCGUAAAGCUCUUUCGCCAGGGAUGAUAAUGACAGUACCUGGUAAAGAAACCCCGGCUAACUCCGUGCCAGCAGCCGCGGUAAUACGGAGGGGGUUAGCGUUGUUCGGAAUUACUGGGCGUAAAGGGCGCGUAGGCGGCGCAUUAAGUCAGGUGUGAAAGCCCUGGGCUCAACCCAGGAAUAGCACUUGAUACUGAUGCGCUUGAAUUCGGGAGAGGAUGACGGAAUUCCCAGUGUAGAGGUGAAAUUCAUUGAUAUUGGGAAGAACACCAGUGGCGAAGGCGGUCAUCUGGCCCGUAAUUGACGCUGAGGCGCGAAAGCGUGGGGAGCAAACAG